Molecule: long non-coding RNA, 225 nt
Filed under: Vigna radiata
Lineage: Eukaryota; Viridiplantae; Streptophyta; Magnoliopsida; Fabales; Fabaceae
Description: long non-coding RNA (VRAD_LNC005211)
Source: RNAcentral
GGAGUGCAAGAUUAUGACAAGUCAGAGUGGUUGGGACGAAGACAGUCAAGAUGGUUGGGAGGAAGAUAUUGAACCAUUCCAUGUGGUUAACAGUGAAGAAGAAGAGACGUUAAUGGGUGAAUUCUUUGAACCCAUGAGCAGUGAAGAUGAAGGAAAGGAAAAUAUUGAGAAAAAAGAAGUUGGUGAAGUGACGGUGUCACCUUUAGAAAAUGAGCAGAGUCCUCC